This 253-nucleotide ribosomal RNA is filed under the name uncultured bacterium. RNAcentral's name for it is "partial 16S ribosomal RNA". It matches the Rfam family "Bacterial small subunit ribosomal RNA", at positions 524 to 776 of the family's 1533-position model. The record is from RNAcentral.
UACAGAGGGGGCAAGCGUUGUUCGGAAUUACUGGGCGUAAAGGGCGCGUAGGCGGCCUGUUAAGUCGAACGUGAAAUCCCUAGGCUCAACCUAGGAACUGCGUCCGAUACUGGCAGGCUUGAAUCCGGGAGAGGGAUGCGGAAUUCCAGGUGUAGCGGUGAAAUGCGUAGAUAUCUGGAGGAACACCGGUGGCGAAGGCGGCAUCCUGGACCGGCAUUGACGCUGAAGCGCGAAAGCCAGGGGAGCAAACGGG